Molecule: ribosomal RNA, 473 nt
Filed under: uncultured organism
Description: partial 16S ribosomal RNA
Rfam family: Bacterial small subunit ribosomal RNA
Source: RNAcentral
ACACUCCUGCGGGAGGCAGCAGUAGGGAAUCUUCCACAAUGGGUGCAAACCUGAUGGAGCAAUGCCGCGUGAGUGAAGAAGGUCUUCGGAUCGUAAAGCUCUGUUGUUAGAGAAGAGCACGUGCUAGGUAACUACUAGCGCCUUGACGGUAUCUAACCAGAAAGUCACGGCUAACUACGUGCCAGCAGCCGCGGUAAUACGUAGGUGACAAGCGUUGUCCGGAUUUAUUGGGCGUAAAGGGAGCGCAGGCGGUCUGUUUAGUCUAAUGUGAAAGCCCACGGCUUAACCGUGGAACGGCAUUGGAAACUGACAGACUUGAAUGUAGAAGAGGAAAAUGGAAUUCCAAGUGUAGCGGUGGAAUGCGUAGAUAUUUGGAGGAACACCAGUGGCGAAGGCGAUUUUCUGGUCUAACAUUGACGCUGAGGCUCGAAAGCGUGGGGAGCGAACAGGAUUAGAAACCCCGGUAGUCCCAU